GGGUUUUCCCAGAAUCAUUGAAUCUGACAAUGGUCCACACUUCAUUGGAGAAGUACUUAAAGAAAUGUGUAAAUUGUUGGGGAUCCAACAAAGAUUUCAUGUCCCAUAUCAUCCACAGUCGGCUGGCAUAGUGGAAAGAAUGAAUAGGACACUGAAAUCUAGAUUGAAAAAAAUGCUUGAAGAUAAGGGGAGUAGUUGGGUAACACACUUACCAGGAGUUUUAAUGUCUAUUCGUGCAACUCCAAACUCCAAAACGCAAGUGUCACCUCAUGAGUUAAUGACAGGCAGAACCAUGCCAAUUACUUUCCCCAAUGAACCUUUUGUUCCAAGUACUUUCAAAGUUGCUGCAGAACAUGCUGAAUGGUUAAAAGUGUUACAUGAACAGCUGCAGU
This is a non-coding RNA of Pelobates cultripes (western spadefoot toad), 392 nucleotides long. The record is from the annotation of a GenBank genome assembly. NCBI's taxonomy places the organism in Eukaryota, Metazoa, Chordata, Amphibia, Anura, Pelobatidae.